AGCACCCCGACCCCCGCCGGCUACCGGCCCCUGCACCCCGACCCCCGGCUGGGCACCGGCCCCUCACCCCGAGACCUCCCCCGGUCCCCAGGCUCAGGCUCAAGCCCCCUUUGCACGCCCCUUCCCCUCCUGGGAGCAGGGCCAUGCAUUGGUUACUGCUUGGGAAGAGCUCCACUCCCACUGCUUUUUACCUCAAAUCGGGAAUGGGGACCAUGUGUGGGUUGUUAAUCAGGAUCUGCUAAUUAAGGGCUCCCAUCCUGCCCUGGUGUAUGUAGCAGUCUCUGUUUUGCAUGGCCCCUGUAUUGAGGGGGUGUCCAAGGAGGGAUAUUUGGGGUAGGAGUAUUUGGGGUAGGGGUAUUUGGGGUAGGGGUAUUUGGGGUGUUAAAGGGGUGCCCCUAUACUUGCUGCUGAAGGGUCCAGCCACCCAGGGACCCCCCCAGAGGCAGCAGUAUGUGAGGAAGGCAGUCCUGGCGCAGAGGAGCUGCCCUUGGCCAGCAGCUCUUGCAGCUGGGGAGCGGCGUGGCCUUGCCAUGCCCACGGAUGGACGGACGGACGGAUGGAUGGAUGGCCAGAGGACUACAAUCCCCGGCAGGGAGCGAAGUGCCGGGGGGAUGCCGGGACUGGUAGUCCCCGGGCCCGCUGUGGGGUCCCCGCUGUCACCGGUGGCUGGGGCGGGGGACCCGGAGGGGAUGUACGGGCUCGGGGAGGAGCCAGCGCCUUCACCCACUUUGUUGUUAAAUACCUUAAAGGAGCAGUGGCUGCGCCCGAGCGAGCUCCCUAGCGGAGCCGCGCAACCCGGGCCGUGGGCUUUUUAAAGAUAAAAAUCACUCGCGUGGCCUUUGGGAUUAACGGGCUCCGUAACUCCUUCGGCGCCUGGGCACCACCGGUGGCCUCGCCAUUGGGCUGCUCCCGCAUCCCCUCGGAGCAUCCUCCGCCGAGCAUCCUCCGGUGCUCCCAGGGCCGAGAAAAAUUGGUGCCGAGGCCGUUUCCUCGCAGGGAACAUCCCCGCUCGGCAGCCCUGCGGAUAAAAAGCUCCGCAGAGAGGCAGGGAGCGGCACCGUGGGCAGCCGUGCGCGUUUCUCGUGGCACAGCCGUGACCCGGGGAUUUUCCCCCCCCCCCGGCCCCGGCGUAAGGCAGUCUGGCACACGGUGCCUCCAGCCAGCCCAGCCCUGGCGUGUGCCCAGCCAGACACCCACAUGAAAGCCGCCGCGGCUCGCCUGGCUCCCAGCCAGUGGCCACCUCCAGGCAGCUCGCGAGGACCUGGGGGGAGCCGAGAGCGAGGCACCCACCCCUGGAGGGCGAGGGGUGAGGGGUGAGGGCUGGGGUUGGCAGCGGGGCACACGGUGGGACCAGCACCUGGGUGCGGACCCCAUAACGGGAUGGGGUUGUCUGUGAAAUGCCGGUCCUGGUAGAGCCGUCCGGCC
This 1425-nucleotide long non-coding RNA is filed under the name Anser brachyrhynchus (Pink-footed goose). RNAcentral's name for it is "lncRNA (ENSABRG00000020757.1)". Lineage: Eukaryota; Metazoa; Chordata; Aves; Anseriformes; Anatidae. The record is from RNAcentral.